GCGCUUGCUUCGGCAGCACAUAUACUAAAAUUGGAACAAUACAGAGAAGAUCAGCAUGGCCCCUGUGCAAGGAUGGCAAGCGAAUUCGUGAAGCGUUUCUUAUUUUU
Molecule: small nuclear RNA, 107 nt
Filed under: Phascolarctos cinereus (koala)
Lineage: Eukaryota; Metazoa; Chordata; Mammalia; Diprotodontia; Phascolarctidae
Source: RNAcentral